This 978-nucleotide ribosomal RNA is filed under the name Campylobacter upsaliensis. Its description in RNAcentral is "partial 23S ribosomal RNA". It matches the Rfam family "Bacterial large subunit ribosomal RNA", at positions 979 to 1772 of the family's 2925-position model. The record is from RNAcentral. Lineage: Bacteria; Pseudomonadati; Campylobacterota; Epsilonproteobacteria; Campylobacterales; Campylobacteraceae.
AGCAGUCAGGCGGCGAGUGAUAAAAUCCGUCGUCAAGAGGGAAACAACCCAGACUAACAGCUAAGGUCCCCAAAUCUUACUUAAGUGGAAAACGAUGUGAAGUUACUUAAACAACCAGGAGGUUGGCUUAGAAGCAGCCAUCCUUUAAAGAAAGCGUAAUAGCUCACUGGUCUAGUGAUUUUGCGCGGAAAAUAUAACGGGGCUAAAGUAAGUACCGAAGCUUUAGACUUGCACACAACUUAGAUGAUUUAAAUUUAAAAUAUGAGAAACUAAAUUUAUUUUUAUUUAUUUUUGCUUAUCUUUAUUCAUUUUUAUAGAGUAAAGAUAAAAACAAAAACUUCGUAAAAAUAAUAAAAUAUAGUAAAAAACAAUAAAAAUAUUCUUAGAUUAAAAGAGUUAAGUCGUUUAAGUUGUGUGCAAUGUGGUAGGAGAGCGUUCUAUUUGCGUCGAAGGUAUACCGACAAGGAGUGCUGGAGCGAAUAGAAGUGAGCAUGCAGGCAUGAGUAGCGAUAAUUAAUGUGAGAAUCAUUAACGCCGUAAACCCAAGGUUUCCUACGCGAUGCUCGUCAUCGUAGGGUUAGUCGGGUCCUAAGCUGAGUCCGAAAGGGGUAAGCGAUGGCAAAUAGGUUAAUAUUCCUAUACCAACAUUAGUGUGCGAUGGAAGGACGCUUAGGGCUAAGGGGGCUAGCGGAUGGAAGUGCUAGUCUAAGGUCGUAGGAGGUUAUACAGGCAAAUCCGUAUAACAAUACUCCGAGAACUGAAAGGCUUUUUGAAGUCUUCGGAUGGAAAGAAGAACCCCUGAUGCCGUCGAGCCAAGAAAAGUUUCUAAGUUUAGCUAAUGUUGCCCGUACCGUAAACCGACACAGGUGGGUGGGAUGAGUAUUCUAAGGCGCGUGGAAGAACUCUCUUUAAGGAACUCUGCAAAAUAGCACCGUAUCUUCGGUAUAAGGUGUGCCUCCCUUUGUAUUAGAAUUCACU